UCCGAAUACUGUACACUAGUCCAAAAAGAUUUAUUCGGUAGCCCACAAUGUCUCUGUCUGUUCAAGUAUGUAUUCUCAUGGUUCUCAUCAUGACAGUUUAUAGUCAAGUUUUACCAACCACCUUUACAGGCGGACCAGGUUCUGUAACCAACAGUCAGACCAAUCCAGGUUUAUUUCCUAACCCAUUCGGGCAACAGGGGUCCAACCAAAUCGACCCUCUUACACUACUAUUGUUGACUCGAGGAGAAGGUGGAAUCAGACGUUUUCUUCCAUUUCUCUUAUCUGGACAAUCUGGACAGAACAACCAACUUUUAAACAUUCUUCUGUUGAGGAGUCUCUCUGGAUAAUUGUUCUAUUAAAUCUGUCUGGAUCAAGUUUUACGGAUU
Long non-coding RNA from Patella vulgata (common limpet), 386 nucleotides. RefSeq lists it as uncharacterized. NCBI's taxonomy places the organism in Eukaryota, Metazoa, Mollusca, Gastropoda, Patellidae. The record is from RefSeq and is a predicted model, not a curated record. The transcript is spliced from 3 exons.